GUCUCCCCCCUCCCCCCUUCCAAAUGAACAAGUAAAUCACUCAGAGUGACUAAUUAGGACUUUCCUUUGAGCUAAAUGAAGUCUGUAAACCGGUCUGUGGAUGUGGGGGUUUUUCAGAUGUGUCCCUGGGAGAGGCUGGCUGGCCUUGCCGAGGGCGCUGGCUGCGGUGGUGGCUGCAGGGCUGGGACAGGACGAGGGCUGGGACAGGAGACGUCGCUCUGCUGCUGCAGCAGCUCUGGGGACUUCCCUGGCCUAGGAGAAACGCGGAGCAUCGCCCAGCCAGGGGCUGGCCUGCAGGUAGGAUGCUGCUCAGCUUCGCACUGAAACCUUCUGCCGUUCAGUGGUGUCGAGCGCUCACUUCUGUCGCUGCAGCUGGCGAGGGUGCCUGGCGUGUGGCUGCACAUAUCCUGAGCUGUGGCUGCCCCUUCGGCCUCUCCUGUGCAAAAGGACAGAAGCCAAAUUCCCCCAAAAAUGCCCGCUGCAGUGCGAGCCGGGCUUCGGUGCCUGAGUCUGAAAGGUCUGAAAGUGUUCGCCGAACAGCAGCAAAACGUCUGGUGGACUGCUGGGGCGAUGGCUGCCGGGCAGUACUUUCAUAAGAGGAGGCACUUCAUUAAGUUUGCUUGGUUUUGGGAAAGCUGUGCACCCUCAGACCACGCGUAGCCACGCCGGUUUACUCCCCUAAUGAGGAGGCAGGAGUUUGUCUGCCAGCUCUGUUGGCACAUCAAGGGAGUGCGCUGGGGGAAGCGUUACAUCUGCUGCUGGUGCAGGGGAAGGGAAAUUGGGAUCUGAGUGCACAAAUAGGGCUGGGGCUCAGACUUCGUGCCUGACUGCUGCUCCACGGGCGUCAUUGCGAGUGCAGUAAAUCCCACCCUGGACAUCUCCGCCGUUCACUGUAGUGCAUUCAGCACGUCUCCCUCAGCAUUAACUUUUGGCCCUGCUUUGCAUCGCUGGUGCCCAGCUCAUGGACGUGGGCUCGGCUUCUGGCACAGCCGACACCUCUCCUCCUGCCCGAGCCGCAUCCUGCUGCGGGCCCAGCACGCCUGAGGCCUCGCGCUGCCGGGAGGAGCACGGGGACCUCUGCAGAGUGGCACCUUUUGAGAUGGAGCUUUCUGCUGCGUGAUUUGCCCCCGAUCUAAUAAAUGCGAUCCAUUAAUUGGAUCAUUGCCUGCUUCUCCAGUUAAUUUCCUGGAUAUUUUUAAACGUUAAAAUGUAGUUUUUAUAGUCUUUCAUUAUUUUUAGCCUUAAGCUCGACUAUAAUCGUCCCUGUAAUGUAACUGUAAAAAACUCCCGGCUUUAUAUCAUAAAGGAGGACAUUAAUUGUCAUUUUUUGUGUACAUCAGCAAGAUCAAAACAUGCUUCCUGAUUACUUCUGUUUGUACAUAGAGUCUCUUUGAUAUUUAGAUAUGAAUAAAGUGUGUGUGUGUAAUUUGAAAGUCAAUUCUUCCCUCCCUGCUGCUUGUCAUGGAUUCCUCUCAGAAGCAUAUUUACCAAAUUGAUUUUAAAAUUUAGUAAUUGCCCUUCCAAAAUGAUUUCUCAAUAAUCAAAGUGUCUCUAAGCACAGUGGCAAAAUAUUUGUCCUUGCUAUCU
Molecule: long non-coding RNA, 1587 nt
Organism: Cygnus olor (mute swan)
Lineage: Eukaryota; Metazoa; Chordata; Aves; Anseriformes; Anatidae
Exons: 3
Source: RefSeq, a predicted model, not a curated record